This 73-nucleotide transfer RNA is filed under the name Pseudomonas costantinii. Its description in RNAcentral is "tRNA-Arg". The record is from RNAcentral. Lineage: Bacteria; Pseudomonadati; Pseudomonadota; Gammaproteobacteria; Pseudomonadales; Pseudomonadaceae.
GCCCAUAUUAAUUAGGUGUAAAAUCGCCCUCCUAAGGGGAAGGUUGGCCGUUCGAACCGGCCCUGGGACACCA